RNAcentral lists this ribosomal RNA (468 nucleotides) under uncultured bacterium. Its description in RNAcentral is "partial 16S ribosomal RNA". It matches the Rfam family "Bacterial small subunit ribosomal RNA", at positions 28 to 507 of the family's 1533-position model. The record is from RNAcentral.
GACGAACGCUGGCGGCGUGCUUAACACAUGCGAGUCGAACGGAAAGGCCCUGCUUUUGUGGGGUGCUCGAGUGGCGAACGGGUGAGUAACACGUGAGUAACCUGCCCUUGACUUUGGGAUAACUUCAGGAAACAGGGGCUAAUACCGGAUAGGAGCUCCUGCUGCAUGGUGGGGGUUGGAAAGUUUCGGCGGUUGGGGAUGGACUCGCGGCUUAUCAGCUUGUUGGUGGGGUAGUGGCUUACCAAGGCUUUGACGGGUAGCCGGCCUGAGAGGGUGACCGGCCACAUUGGGACUGAGAUACGGCCCAGACUCCUACGGGAGGCAGCAGUGGGGAAUAUUGCACAAUGGGCGGAAGCCUGAUGCAGCAACGCCGCGUGCGGGAUGACGGCCUUCGGGUUGUAAACCGCUUUCGCCUGUGACGAAGCGUGAGUGACGGUAAUGGGUAAAGAAGCACCGGCUAACUACGUG